Antechinus flavipes (yellow-footed antechinus) is the source of this 1064-nucleotide long non-coding RNA. RefSeq lists it as uncharacterized. NCBI's taxonomy places the organism in Eukaryota, Metazoa, Chordata, Mammalia, Dasyuromorphia, Dasyuridae. The transcript is spliced from 2 exons. The record is from RefSeq and is a predicted model, not a curated record.
CUGCCCUGUUAAAUUCUUAGUUUAUCAAAUGAACUGUCAAAAUCCAAAGUUAUAACUAGUAAUUAUAUACCUAAGACAAAACAACUGAGCAGGAGACAGCACUGUAGGACAGUGCAACCAUGGGGAUAAUCACAUUGGAAGAGGAAGCGGUUCUUGUUUAUGACAGAAAUGGGGGGAAAGAGGGAGUGGUAUCCCCAGGAAAAAGAAUAACACAUUGAAGGGACUCUUAGUAUGGUAGUCUCUAGACUAUGUCCCUUAAAUAUCUAUUCCCCUACACUCAAGUUGCCUCUCCCUAGUCAUGGCUCUGUCAAAAUUAUAAUACUAUGGUUUUGUAAAAUAUUUUUAGUCAAAAUUCUCAAAUAAUUAUUCUCAAACUAAUCCAGAAUCCUUUUCUAAUUUAUUUAUGUGCUUUAUCUCUAUCUAAAUGGGCUGAAUAGAAUAUAAUUAUAUAAUAUAGAAAAUAGUAAUAUACCUUUUUUUUUUUUUAGCACAGAUAACUUUGCUUUGUUUUCUAACAAUAAUUGUAAAAACAUGUUGUAGGGUCACUGAUAUUACUAAAACUUGUAAUCUCAUCUAAACUCUCCUGUCUAGCCUCCUAAUAGCACUUCAAAUUUUCUUUUUAGUAGUUUUUAACCUUCAAGUCUUCACUUUCAAGAUGUCUAUGAUGAAGUGAAGAGGCAGAAUACAGACAAGUGAAGAUCAUUAAUAUGAUAUGGGGAAUUAGAAAAAGUUUCCUAGAUGAAAGAGCAACAGAGCCUUGAAGAAAAGGACACUGAAAGAGAUGAGGUACUUAUGAUCUAGGAAUAUCCAAUCAAGACUUCAGAAUCAUGAUAAAACAUGUCUCCUAGAAGAAAAGUGAUGGACUAAAGAUGCAGAAUGAAGCAAAGAUUUCCAGACAUGAGCACUAUAUAAUUUUGCUUUGCCUGAACAUACCUAUUUCUUUUAGCAAGGACUUCUAUGGGGGAAUCUGGGAGGAUGAAUUAGUAAGAAGUAACAAACAUCCUAUUUCCCCUCACUCUGCCAAAAAAAGAAAAGGACAUCAAUAAAAGUUUGGAAGAGUGUUA